RNAcentral lists this ribosomal RNA (372 nucleotides) under Triticum aestivum (bread wheat). RNAcentral's name for it is "partial small subunit ribosomal RNA". Lineage: Eukaryota; Viridiplantae; Streptophyta; Magnoliopsida; Poales; Poaceae. The record is from RNAcentral.
AUGUCCCCUUUAAAAAAUGGUUACAUCAGAAAUCAAUCAGUUUCAUUAGUCUACACGUCUAUUGUUUUACAAGGUUUCUUCUAUGCUGUUCCGACCAUUGGAAUUUUCAAAGACCAGCGCCGCAAGAACAUGUCACUGGUGGCUCAAGAUACAAGGCCCAGCUGGAAGAGACAUCUUCCCAAGGUGUGCUCGCAAGAGCUUGCUAUGGCCAUCCAAGGUCCAGGGCGAUUACAUACGCGGCGAAUGCAGAUGCAUAUGGUAAAGCUCCGUGUCGACGUGACGAACAAGCACCAGUUGGGAGCCCAGAUGAAGAAGGCUGCCGAUGGGAGAAAGAGGAGAAGCGAUGAGAUGUUUAUGGCAGCUUAUGGAUGA